This 221-nucleotide ribosomal RNA is filed under the name uncultured bacterium. RNAcentral's name for it is "partial 16S ribosomal RNA". It matches the Rfam family "Bacterial small subunit ribosomal RNA", at positions 524 to 742 of the family's 1533-position model. The record is from RNAcentral.
UACGUAGGUGGCAAGCGUUGUUCGGAAUUAUUGGGCGUAAAGCGCGCGACGAGCGGCCUCUUAAGUCUGAUGUGAAAGCCCCCGGCUCAACCCGGGGAGGGCCAUUGGAAACUGGGAGGCUUGAGUAUAGGAGAGAAGAGUGGAAUUCCACGUGUAGCGGUGAAAUGCGUAGAGAUGUGGAGGAACACCAGUGGCGAAGGCGACUCUUUGGCCUAUAACUG